UACGGAGGAUCCAAGCGUUAUCCGGAAUCAUUGGGUUUAAAGGGUCCGUAGGCGGGCCUGUAAGUCAGUGGUGAAAUCCGGCGGCUUAACCGUCGAACUGCCAUUGAUACUGCAGGCCUUGAAUUAUUGGGAAGUAACUAGAAUAUGUAGUGUAGCGGUGAAAUGCUUAGAUAUUACAUGGAAUACCGAUUGCGAAGGCAGGUUACUAUCAAUACAUUGACGCUGAUGGACGAAAAGCGUGGGGGAGCGAACAGG
Molecule: ribosomal RNA, 255 nt
Filed under: uncultured bacterium
Lineage: Bacteria
Description: partial 16S ribosomal RNA
Rfam family: Bacterial small subunit ribosomal RNA
Source: RNAcentral